CGGCCCGAGGGGUGCUGCGACGGAGCCACGCUCCGCCACGCUCGGUCCGCGAUGCCGAGCAAGGGCGCCCUCCCGCA
Molecule: non-coding RNA, 77 nt
Filed under: Lysobacter enzymogenes
Lineage: Bacteria; Pseudomonadati; Pseudomonadota; Gammaproteobacteria; Lysobacterales; Lysobacteraceae
Description: SAH sequence
Rfam family: SAH (S-adenosyl-L-homocysteine) riboswitch aptamer
Source: Rfam by way of RNAcentral